AUGUUGGCUGUCUGUCUGUGCUUUGUACUCGUCUUUCCUACUGUCUCCAUGGCUCACCAGCAUGAGGAGGGUGUGUUGUGGUUGGCCAGCACUGCUAGGCAGACAUCUUAUCCUUCUUAUUCUGCCUUUACCAUCAACAUCCACAUUAUGAUUUCUCAGGGAGGGCAUCAACUUGUUUCCCAGCUAUUGAUUGCUGUCACUGACAGAAGCUGUGGUCGGUAAUGGAUCUAGAGGCCAGCUUCCAGUGACGCAGUUUCUAGGAACACAGACAGUGCCAAUCUGAGCUCCAAAAAUCAAUCACACAGAAAUGCUUUACAGUUUGUAACUGUCAGAAAUAGUGGCAGCAGUGCAGCAUUACAGGACAUUGCCCUGUGUCUACAAAGUGUGUUUUCCAGAACAGCAGGAUCUUUCCCUUUGCAGUUUUUUGGGUACCUCACCUGUAAACAGAGAGAGCUGAGCUGCUUGAGAGUUCCUGGGAGGAAGGACUAGUGAUUGUCAUGCAUGUCUCUUUUCCCUCUGUCAUAGUUGCCUGGGAAGUUAUUUCUCUUCCUACCUGGCUUUUGGCGAAACUGGCCGUGUAACACUCAGUGGUGCCAGAGCUCAUCUCUUUCUGUUCCUCAGGGAAACUUACUGUGUCUCAGCCUUGUUCUUUCCCUUUUUUUGCCUGCAAAGACCGGUUCUAUAGUGAAGGUCACAAGCAUCACCAAUCUCAAAACGGGAAGGACAAAAUAUGUUACUCACUAUUCCAGAUGCUGUUGCUCUCAGAGUAUCAUUAAAUGUUGCUUAUCACACUGCAUUUAAGUGGAAUGGAAUCUCUUGAGAGAUUUAAAAUAACUUUAUCACCAAAUGAAGGCAAGUUUAGUGAGCCUGUCUGUGCAGUUAUAAUCUCUGGCAGUGCUGAGCAGUCUGUCCAGAGAGCUGUGUCUGUAUUGCUUAAGUUUCUCUUAAACUCUACUCCCAUUUGAUAGCAGGUAAAGAACGUGUUUUGCUGACAUUAUUCAUAUACAUUCUCUCAUCUUUUCCCAGUAAUUAAUAUGACAGAUAGAAGCACAGAGGGGUAGAGUGGCUCAUGCAGACUAAUUUACUCAGUGCUUGGGUUUCAAUGAAUAGCUCAUAAAAAUAUAUGUACUCUCUCUUCUAUCUCCUUACCGGAGAUGUUCAGUCCACCUUCCUCAGAUCCCUACCAUGACAGCUUACUUCUAUGGUUGUGAGAGUAUCAGCU
Molecule: long non-coding RNA, 1222 nt
Filed under: Numida meleagris (helmeted guineafowl)
Lineage: Eukaryota; Metazoa; Chordata; Aves; Galliformes; Numididae
Description: lncRNA (ENSNMEG00000011037.1)
Source: RNAcentral